Molecule: unclassified non-coding RNA, 390 nt
Filed under: soil metagenome
Description: partial contains 5.8S ribosomal RNA, internal transcribed spacer 2, and large subunit ribosomal RNA
Rfam family: 5.8S ribosomal RNA (bases 1-122)
Source: RNAcentral
GAUGAAGAACGUAGCGAAAUGCGAUACUUGGUGUGAAUUGCAGAAUCCCGUGAACCAUCGAGUCUUUGAACGCAAGUUGCGCCCGAAGCCAUUAGGCCGAGGGCACGCCUGCCUGGGCGUCACACGUCGUUGCCCCCCCAUCUACUCCUUCGGGAUUGCGGGGGGCGGAUGAUGGCCUCCCGUGCGCCUCGUCGCGCGGUUGGCAUAAAUGCCAAGUCCUCGGCGACGCACGCCACGACAAUCGGUGGUUGCGAAACCUCGGUUGCCCGUCGUGUGCGGUCGUCGCGCAUCGAGGGCUCGAAAAAAUUGCCGGGCUCCGGCUCGGCUUUCAACGCGACCCCAGGUCAGGCGGGGUUACCCGCUGAAUUUAAGUACAUCAAUAAGGGAGGA